GGAAAUUAUCAAGCUCAUAGCCGCUGGGCAAGAACGCCAGGCAAAGUGAACGGAAAUCCAGUGAUAGAGUGCAAGUAUGAACAAGAGUCUGCAUCAUAUCUUUCAGCGAGUUCAGAUCAUAUGAACGAUUCAGAUGGAACAGAGACACAGUCCUCUGCCAAAGAACCAGUAUAUACUGAAAUGCUUGCUAAUAAUGAAGAUGAAGAUGAGCCUGAAGCUCAACCCGAGGGGCAAACUGCAAAACGGACUCGCAGCUCAGAGACACUGCAGGAUGCAAUGUUGGCGAUAGCCUCAAGCAUCCGACACCUAGCUGACACAAUCGAGCAAAGCAAGUACACCAUUGACACCCCUGCUCUUCUGCAAGCUGUAAUGGAAAUCGAAGGUCUGGAAGAAUCAAAGCAAAUGUACGCCUUUGAGUUUUUGAAUGAGGACGCUACCAAAGCCAGAGCCUUCA
RNAcentral lists this unclassified non-coding RNA (454 nucleotides) under Hevea brasiliensis (rubber tree). Lineage: Eukaryota; Viridiplantae; Streptophyta; Magnoliopsida; Malpighiales; Euphorbiaceae. The record is from RNAcentral.